This 699-nucleotide ribosomal RNA is filed under the name Triticum aestivum (bread wheat). Its description in RNAcentral is "partial small subunit ribosomal RNA". Lineage: Eukaryota; Viridiplantae; Streptophyta; Magnoliopsida; Poales; Poaceae. The record is from RNAcentral.
AUGCAACUAAUGUCAUGGUUCUACGGCUCUCCUAAAUAUGUACCAUACACGACAAAGGACAUCGCAAACCAGCGAGCUAAAUUCCGCAGGGAGUACCGCCACACUGAUGUGGGAAGCACAAUCUCAUACUUCCAAGAUAUGAAGGCACAAGAUCCAGAUUUUUAUUGGAGAGUAAAACUUGAUGAUGAGGACAGUGUGGAAAAUUUGCUAUGGAUAGAUGGUGCCUCGCGCAGGGCAUAUGCUAGGUACAAUGACGUUGUGUCAUUCGACACAACAUACAUGACAAACAUGUACAAGAUGCCUUGUGCGCCCUUCAUUGGCAUUAAUAACCAUGGGCAGUCAAUCCAGUUUGGUUGUGAAUUUGUUCGAAAUGAACUAUCUACAAACUUUGUGUGGAUGUUUAAUGCAUUUUUGCAUGCAAUGGGUGAAGUUGUGCCAAAGAACAUAAUAAUAGAUCAAUAUUUUGUCAUAAGGAGUGCUAUGGAUGAGGUGUUCAUUGGGAUAGUACACCAGAAUUGUUGCUGGCAUAUAAUGGAAAAGGCCCGGGAGAAGCUUGGGAAGCUAAUGGCUGACGAUGAACCAUUGAACAAGGCAUUCAAGGAUUGUGUUGACAACAGUUUGAUUGGUAUUUUACUUCCCACCCAAACUACCUUAAACACAAAUGAGUUCGCAUGUCUGGGAUCAACAGUUACCAUGUAA